UUCAAGUGAUUCUUCUGCUUCAGCCUCCCAAGUAGCUGGGACUACAAGUGUGUGCCACCAUGCCUGGCUAAUUUUUUUUACUUUUUUAUUUUUAGUAGAUACAGGAUUUCACCAUAUUGGCCAAGCUGGUCUCGAACUCCUGACCUUGUGAUCUGCCAGCCUCCGCCUCCCAAAGUGCUGGGAUUACAGGUGUGAGCCACCGCACCGGUUUACCAAGGCGGAGAAGUUCAUCUUCAAGAAAACUAAGAGAUCUCUUCCCCUGACAAAAAACAACUCCACGUUUGUUGGGACUCAGACCUGGGCUCUUCUGUCAGCUCUAGGUAGGGAGGUAUUGGAGAGCAAGUUUAGGAGUCACCCUACCAAGUGGGUAUGAUGAUGAAGGUGAGCUGCUAAGAAAGAGGUUGAGAGACAGCUGAUGUUUGUUUCAAGCCAAUCUUCUUCAACCCCAGGCACCAGGAGCAGAGGGCCAGUGGGUAAAGAUUAAGUAGGAUGGAAUCUGUAAUAAAGCCAAAUGUGUGGGUUGUAUUGCUGAUCUUGUCAUUAUUUUGGAUUUUUGGAGUGGAGAUGAGAUGAAAAUGUUUGCUUUGUAUCUACCCGCCCAGGGUGUAAGUAAGAGG
This 617-nucleotide long non-coding RNA is filed under the name Rhinopithecus bieti (black snub-nosed monkey). Its description in RNAcentral is "lncRNA (ENSRBIG00000046475.1)". Lineage: Eukaryota; Metazoa; Chordata; Mammalia; Primates; Cercopithecidae. The record is from RNAcentral.